UACGUAGGUGGCAAGCGUUGUCCGGAUUUAUUGGGCGUAAAGCGAGCGCAGGCGGUUCCUUAAGUCUGAUGUGAAAGCCCACGGCUUAACCGUGGAGGGUCAUUGGAAACUGGUCGACUUGAGUGCAGAAGAGGGAAGUGGAAUUCCUAGUGUAGCGGUGAAAUGCGUAGAGAUAUGGAGGAACACCAGUGGCGAAGGCGGCUUCCUGGUCUGUAACUGACACUGAGGCGCGAAAGCGUGGGGAGCAAACAGGAUUAGAUACCCGCGUA
RNAcentral lists this ribosomal RNA (269 nucleotides) under uncultured prokaryote. RNAcentral describes it as "partial 16S ribosomal RNA". It matches the Rfam family "Bacterial small subunit ribosomal RNA", at positions 524 to 792 of the family's 1533-position model. The record is from RNAcentral.